GUGCCAGCAGCCGCGGUAAUACGUAGGGGGCAAGCGUUGUCCGGAUUUAUUGGGCGUAAAGAGCGUGUAGGCGGCUGGGUAGGUCCGCUGUGAAAACUCGAGGCUCAACCUCGAGAGGUCGGUGGAAACCAUCCAGCUAGAGUCCGGAAGAGGAGAAUGGAAUUCCUGGUGUAGCGGUGAAAUGCGCAGAUAUCAGGAAGAACACCCGUGGCGAAGGCGGUUCUCUGGGACGGUACUGACGCUGAGACGCGAAAGCGUGGGGAGCGAACAGGAUUAGAUACCCUUGUAGUCC
This 292-nucleotide ribosomal RNA is filed under the name uncultured bacterium. Its description in RNAcentral is "partial 16S ribosomal RNA". It matches the Rfam family "Bacterial small subunit ribosomal RNA", at positions 505 to 796 of the family's 1533-position model. The record is from RNAcentral.